This 318-nucleotide long non-coding RNA is filed under the name Capsicum annuum. RNAcentral describes it as "long non-coding RNA (CANN_LNC017847)". The record is from RNAcentral. Lineage: Eukaryota; Viridiplantae; Streptophyta; Magnoliopsida; Solanales; Solanaceae.
AAUUUCUUUUUAUUUUAUGUUUUUUAUUCUUCAAGUUUAUACUUUUCCUAUUUAAAAUUUUCAAGUCACAAAAAUCCUACGUAAAUUCCAAAGAAAUAAUUUCAGCUAAAUUUGUAGCAACACAACCCCCAAUAAUUUUUCAAGUAAUAAUUUCGUAGGUAAAUCCCCCAAAAAUAAUUUCAGCUAAAUUUGUAGCAACACAAUCCCUCAAUAAUUUUCCAAGUAAUAAUUUCGCAGGUAAAUCCCCAAGAAUAAAUCUCCAUAAAAAUUCGCAGAACAAAAUCCCCAAAUAAAUUUUCAAAUAAUAAAAUCCAUUAC